RNAcentral lists this ribosomal RNA (526 nucleotides) under uncultured Gammaproteobacteria bacterium. RNAcentral's name for it is "bacterial SSU rRNA". It matches the Rfam family "Bacterial small subunit ribosomal RNA", at positions 8 to 525 of the family's 1533-position model. Lineage: Bacteria; Pseudomonadati; Pseudomonadota; Gammaproteobacteria. The record is from RNAcentral.
AGAGUUUGAUCCUGGCUCAGAUUGAACGCUAGCGGCAUGCUUAACACAUGCAAGUCGAACGGCAGCGCGGGGAGCUUGCUCCCUGGCGGCGAGUGGCGAACGGGUGAGUAACGCGUAGGAAUCUGCCCUAUAGUGGGGGACAACCCGGGGAAACCCGGGCUAAUACCGCAUAAUCUCUACGGAGCAAAGUGGGGGACCUUCGGGCCUCACGCUAUAGGAUGAGCCUGCGUCAGAUUAGCUUGUUGGUAGGGUAAUGGCCUACCAAGGCAACGAUCUGUAGCUGGUCUGAGAGGAUGAUCAGCCACACUGGGACUGAGACACGGCCCAGACUCCUACGGGAGGCAGCAGUGGGGAAUAUUGGACAAUGGGGGAAACCCUGAUCCAGCAAUGCCGCGUGUGUGAAGAAGGCUUUCGGGUUGUAAAGCACUUUCAGUGGGGAAGAAAUUCUUAAGGUUAAUAGCCUUGAGCGUUGACGUUACCCACAGAAGAAGCACUGGCUAACUCUGUGCCAGCAGCCGCGGUAAUA